ACGGGUGAGUAACGCGUGAGAAUCUGCUUGGGGUCGGGGACACCACUGGAAACGGUGGCUAAUACCGGAUAAAGCUUUGGUGUAAAGAUUUAUUGCCCCAAGAGGAGCUCGCGUCUGAUUAGCUAGUUGGUGAGGUAAAAGCUCACCAAGGCAGCGAUCAGUAGCUGGUCUGAGAGGACGAUCAGCCACACUGGGACUGAGACACGGCCCAGACUCCUACGGGAGGCAGCAGUGGGGAAUUUUCCGCAAUGGGCGAAAGCCUGACGGAGCAAGACCGCGUGAGGGAGGAAGGCUCUUGGGUUGUAAACCUCUUUUCUCAGGGAAGAAGCUCUGACGGUACCUGAGGAAUCAGCCUCGGCUAACUCCGUGCCAGCAGCCGCGGUAAUACGGAGAAGGCAAGCGUUAUCCGGAAUUAUUGGGCGUAAAGCGUCCGCAGGUGGCGAUUCAAGUCUGCUGUCAAAGCACGGGGCUUAACUCCGUUAAGGCAGUGGAAACUGAAUAGCUAGAGUGCCGUAGGGGUAGAGGGAAUUCCCGGUGUAGCGGUGAAAUGCGUAGAGAUCGGGAAGAACAUCGGUGGCGAAAGCGCUCUACUGGACGGCAACUGACACUCAGGGACGAAAGCUAGGGGAGCGAAUGGGAUUAGAUACCCCAGUAGUCCUAGCUGUAAACGAUGGAUACUAGGUGUAGCUGUAAUCGACGACGAGCUGUGCAGAAGAUCAACGCGAUAAGUAUCCCGCGUGGGGAGUACAGCACAACAAGGUGUGAAACUCGAAGUAAUUGACGGCGGCCACAAACAAGCGGUGGAGUAGGUGUAAUUAUAUCCGAUACGACGCGAAGUUCCUCUAGCAGGGACAGACACCGUCAGGACUGCCCGAAUGAAUAGCUGGGACGUUCGUUCGCGAGAACAAACACAGGUGAUGCAUGUCUGUAGUCAGCUCGUGUAGAGAGAUGUUGAAUUAAGUCCAGCGAGCGAGAGCAACCUUCGUCAGUUACCAGCAAUCAUUAAGUCACUCAAUAUAGAGAGACUGCCGCUGACCAGACGGAGGAAGGUGGGGAUGACAUCAAGUCAGCACGCCCCUUACGCUGUGGGCAACACACGUACUACAAUGGUCGGGACAGAGGGCAGCGAACCUGCGAAGGCAAGCUUAUCACACGCANACUCGGCGUCAUCUCUAGAUCAUCAGCAGGCUACUCGUCCUCCGUGAAGAGAGGAGUCAUCUACUAUAAUUCAGCCCACCUAUAAGUACGGCGAAUCCGUUCCCCGGGCCUUGUACACACCGCCCGUCACACCAUGGAAGCUGGCACGCCCGAAGUCG
Molecule: ribosomal RNA, 1316 nt
Filed under: uncultured organism
Description: partial 16S ribosomal RNA
Rfam family: Bacterial small subunit ribosomal RNA
Source: RNAcentral